AGCGAACGCUGGCGGCAGGCUUAACACAUGCAAGUCGAACGCAUCCUUCGGGGUGAGUGGCAGACGGGUGAGUAACACGUGGGAACAUACCUUUUGGUUCGGACUAACUCAUGGAAACGUGAGCUAAUACCGGAUACGCCCUUUUGGGGAAAGAUUUAUUGCCGAAAGAUUGGCCCGCGUCUGAUUAGCUAGUUGGUGAGGUAAUGGCUCACCAAGGCGACGAUCAGUAGCUGGUCUGAGAGGAUGAGCAGCCACACUGGGACUGAGACACGGCCCAGACUCCUACGGGAGGCAGCAGUGGGGAAUAUUGGACAAUGGGCGCAAGCCGGAUCCAGCCAUGCCGCGUGAGUGAUGAAGGCCUUAGGGUUGUAAAGCUCUUUUAUCCGGGAAGAUAAUGACUGUACCGGAAGAAUAAGCCCCGGCUAACUUCGUGCCAGCCGCCGCAGUAA
RNAcentral lists this ribosomal RNA (449 nucleotides) under uncultured bacterium. RNAcentral's name for it is "partial 16S ribosomal RNA". It matches the Rfam family "Bacterial small subunit ribosomal RNA", at positions 29 to 523 of the family's 1533-position model. The record is from RNAcentral.